RNAcentral lists this unclassified non-coding RNA (668 nucleotides) under Hevea brasiliensis (rubber tree). Lineage: Eukaryota; Viridiplantae; Streptophyta; Magnoliopsida; Malpighiales; Euphorbiaceae. The record is from RNAcentral.
GCCGGUCCUGUCAUAUGUAGAAGAUUCAAAACAAUGUCGAUAUCGAGUCGGUUUGCCACAACACACAGCCGACUAGAUCACAUCAACGCUGCCAGCAAGGCUUACAGAAACAAACAAUGAGUGGUGUGAAAUGGCUGUGCUGCUGUAGACAAAUAACCUUAUCUCAAUUCACUUUAUGACAUCUAUACAACAUCCGUUUUGAUCCACAGAUACAUUAUACCCCCUGAUACAUAUUCUACACAUAUUUUCCCUCUUUUGUUAUAUACAAUCCCGUGGCAUCUCUCUUACCUAUCUAUCGAAGGGAUACUCCAAAUUGUUUUCGGUCACCUUAAAAUGUUGUGGACGCUGCCCCGAACAAUGCAGGUUCCACAUUUUGAAGUAUGACCUCUCCAAGUUCCUCACCCAUCGAGCCGUGUCGAAUAGAGGGCAAGUCAUCCUCACAGACUUCAAUUUGUUGGUAAGUGCUUGCAGCUUCGGCCGAUUCAAUGCCAAUGAUACAGCCUUCUCCUCGUAUUCUUUCAUGCUGUUAACAAUCAUCUCGUCUCCCAGUCCAGUUGCAAGACAGAGAGACCCAGCAACCCUUGUAGCCAUUUUCUCGAGGGGCAGGGUAAUCAUUGGUAAACCCGCCCAUAAGAUGUCGGUUCCUGUUGUAUGUGCAUUGCACAAAG